AGUGAACGCUGGCGGUAGGCCUAACACAUGCAAGUCGAACGGCAGCACAGUAAGAGCUUGCUCUUACGGGUGGCGAGUGGCGGACGGGUGAGGAAUACAUCGGAAUCUACUUUUUCGUGGGGGAUAACGUAGGGAAACUUACGCUAAUACCGCAUACGACCUACGGGUGAAAGCAGGGGAUCUUCGGACCUUGCGCGUUGGAAGGAGCCGAUGUCGGAUUAGCUAGUGGGCGGGGUAAAGGCCCACCAAGGCGACGAUCCGUAGCUGGUCUGAGAGGAUGAUCAGCCACACUGGAACUGAGACACGUUCCAGACUCCUACGGGAGGCAGCAGUGGGGAAUAUUGGACAAUGGGCGCAAGCCUGAUCCAGCCAUACCGCGUGGGUGAAGAAGGCCUUCGGGUUGUAAAGCCCUUUUGUUGGGAAAGAAAAGCAGCAGGUUAAUACCCCGCUGUUCUGACGGUACCCAAAGAAUAAGCACCGGCUAACUUCGUG
This 492-nucleotide ribosomal RNA is filed under the name uncultured bacterium. RNAcentral's name for it is "partial 16S ribosomal RNA". It matches the Rfam family "Bacterial small subunit ribosomal RNA", at positions 29 to 507 of the family's 1533-position model. The record is from RNAcentral.